Unclassified non-coding RNA from Cricetulus griseus (Chinese hamster), 300 nucleotides. Its record names the gene 7SK. It matches the Rfam family "7SK RNA". Rfam says of the family: 7SK was discovered as an abundant small nuclear RNA in the mid-70s but a possible function has only recently been suggested. Two independent studies have found that 7SK RNA binds the CDK9/cyclin T complex (known as elongation factor P-TEFb). The record is from Ensembl. NCBI's taxonomy places the organism in Eukaryota, Metazoa, Chordata, Mammalia, Rodentia, Cricetidae.
GUCAGUGAAGGUAAACUGGCUGCCACAUCUGUCACCCCAUUGGUCAACAGGGUUGAUUGGGCUGAUCUGGCUGGCUAGUCAGGUGUCCCUUCCUCCCUCACGGCUCCAUGUACACCCAUCCUGAAGUUGGGCACUUGGUCAAACAGGGUGAGCUUCCCUGAACAGAGGAUGGCCGGUCUUCAGUCAAGGGUAUACGAGUAGCUGUUCUCCGCUGUUAGAACCUUCAAAAAAGCUGAGACCUGUCUUAUCAGACUACAUACUGACUGGCAUCAGAACACUUCUGUCUUUUGUUCAAAAGAC